GACGAACGCUGGCGGCGUGCUUAACACAUGCAAGUCGAACGGAAAGGCCCUGCUUUUGUGGGGUGCUCGAGUGGCGAACGGGUGAGUAACACGUGAGUAACCUGCCCUGGACUUUGGGAUAACUGCAGGAAACUGGGGCUAAUACCGGAUAGGAGCUCCUGCUGCAUGGUGGGGGUUGGAAAGUUUCGGCGGUUGGGGAUGGACUCGCGGCUUAUCAGCUUGUUGGUGGGGUAGUGGCUUACCAAGGCUUUGACGGGUAGCCGGCCUGAGAGGGUGACCGGCCACAUUGGGACUGAGAUACGGCCCAGACUCCUACGGGAGGCAGCAGUGGGGAAUAUUGCACAAUGGGCGGAAGCCUGAUGCAGCAACGCCGCGUGCGGGAUGACGGCCUUCGGGUUGUAAACCGCUUUCGCCUGUGACGAAGCGUGAGUGACGGUAAUGGGUAAAGAAGCACCGGCUAACUACGUG
RNAcentral lists this ribosomal RNA (468 nucleotides) under uncultured bacterium. RNAcentral's name for it is "partial 16S ribosomal RNA". It matches the Rfam family "Bacterial small subunit ribosomal RNA", at positions 28 to 507 of the family's 1533-position model. The record is from RNAcentral.